This 1080-nucleotide long non-coding RNA is filed under the name Gallus gallus (chicken). Lineage: Eukaryota; Metazoa; Chordata; Aves; Galliformes; Phasianidae. The record is from RNAcentral.
GCAGCUCGGGCAGCAGCAGCAGCAGCGGCACCCACAUCCUGGGGCGGCGGCGGGCGGCUGCUCCGGGAAGCGGAGGAGGGGGACUCUCCCCGGGAUGUCGCUCCCCCCGACGCCCGCUCUCCGGCUGGGAGGUCCCCGCUCAGAUCUUGGACCAGUGCCAUUGGGAUCAGGAGCAAACCCUGAAAAACCAGCCCACUCCUCUGUUAGAUGAACACCUGGGAUGACAAAAAGGAUGUGAGCACCGAUAGAGGGAAGAAAGAAAAAUAAAACAGCCUUUUGGAAAUGUUGCUGACAAACUUAGUCUGCUCUCUGAUCAUCUGGAAACAAAGACGGGACUCUGUAUGAUUCUCACAGCCAUGGAAACAAACCAUAGUUUGGAGACAGCCAGUGGGAGGAGCCCAGUCUGGGGAAAGAUGUAUUUAUCCCCAGUGCUAGAUUUACUAGAUUUACACCAGUGCUGAAAAUCUUACAAAAAAAUGGCUAUAACAUGAUGUGAAAUUUUGACUGUAACAUUCUCUCCUUAGUGCUCAGCAGAGUAGCUGAAGCAACACAGGAUGAAGGAGAAAAUCAGAAUAUAAAAUAACAGCAGAACGGUUAAGUCAUAAAAUAGCUUUGAAAUCAUUGGGCACACAACUAAAAUGUGCUUGCCUCGUAUUUUUUCCCUUCCUUGACCAGAUUUAUUCUGCUCUUGUUACCUGUUUGCUGUAUGCCUCAUCACUUUGUGGAGGAAGACCUUUCCAUCUGCAGAUAGAAAAUGAAGGAGUGAACAGUUUGAAUGAGAUCUUCCUAUCAGGAUGAUCCUGGACGGCUGUCAGAGACGUGCUACUUCACCAUCCCAAAUGCACUACGUCUCAGAAGAGGAGGAAGAAGUUUGUGGUGGGGUUGAAUGGAAAUGCUUUCAUAGGAAAAGUGUGGUAUUUUAGUGGAAAUUUCAUAUGGCUCCAAAUGUGGAAUAAAAAGCUAGGUUAAGUGAAUUAAUAUUUCUUAUUUCCAGUCCCCAGCAUUGACAGUCGCAUUGUGUACCAUCUUGCUAUUUCAAAUUUGUAAACCCAUACUAACGAAUAAAUUGUUAUGUUCACC